CGGAGGGUGCGAGCGUUGUCCGGAAUCAUUGGGCGUAAAGGGCGCGUAGGUGGUGGGGUCAGUUCGUGGUGAAAGCGCGGGGCUCAACUCCGCGUCGGCCAUGAAUACUGCUUCACUUGAGCACUGUAGAGGCAGGCGGAAUUCCGGGUGUAGCGGUGGAAUGCGUAGAGAUCCGGAAGAACACCGGUGGCGAAGGCGGCCUGCUGGGCAGUGGCUGACACUGAGGCGCGACAGCGUGGGGAGCAAACAGGAUUAGAUACCCUGGUAGUCCACGCCGUAAACGAUGGGCACUAGGCGCUUGGGGGAGCGACCCCCCGAGGGCCGGCGCUAACGCAUUAAGUGCCCCGCCUGGGGAGUACGGCCGCAAGGCUG
RNAcentral lists this ribosomal RNA (372 nucleotides) under uncultured organism. Its description in RNAcentral is "bacterial SSU rRNA". It matches the Rfam family "Bacterial small subunit ribosomal RNA", at positions 526 to 896 of the family's 1533-position model. The record is from RNAcentral.